Molecule: ribosomal RNA, 1551 nt
Filed under: Cytobacillus dafuensis
Lineage: Bacteria; Bacillati; Bacillota; Bacilli; Caryophanales; Bacillaceae
Also listed under: 1 other name
Description: Bacterial small subunit ribosomal RNA
Rfam family: Bacterial small subunit ribosomal RNA
Source: Rfam by way of RNAcentral
UUAUUGGAGAGUUUGAUCCUGGCUCAGGACGAACGCUGGCGGCGUGCCUAAUACAUGCAAGUCGAGCGGACUUGUGAGAGCUUGCUCUCGCAAGUUAGCGGCGGACGGGUGAGUAACACGUGGGCAACCUGCCUGUAAGACUGGGAUAACUUCGGGAAACCGGAGCUAAUACCGGAUAAUUCUUUUCUACACAUGUAGGAAAGCUGAAAGAUGGCUUCGGCUAUCACUUACAGAUGGGCCCGCGGCGCAUUAGCUAGUUGGUGAGGUAACGGCUCACCAAGGCAACGAUGCGUAGCCGACCUGAGAGGGUGAUCGGCCACACUGGGACUGAGACACGGCCCAGACUCCUACGGGAGGCAGCAGUAGGGAAUCUUCCGCAAUGGACGAAAGUCUGACGGAGCAACGCCGCGUGAGUGAUGAAGGUUUUCGGAUCGUAAAACUCUGUUGUUAGGGAAGAACAAGUACCGUUCGAAUAGGGCGGUACCUUGACGGUACCUAACCAGAAAGCCACGGCUAACUACGUGCCAGCAGCCGCGGUAAUACGUAGGUGGCAAGCGUUGUCCGGAAUUAUUGGGCGUAAAGCGCGCGCAGGUGGUUCCUUAAGUCUGAUGUGAAAGCCCACGGCUCAACCGUGGAGGGUCAUUGGAAACUGGGGAACUUGAGUGCAGAAGAGGAAAGUGGAAUUCCACGUGUAGCGGUGAAAUGCGUAGAGAUGUGGAGGAACACCAGUGGCGAAGGCGACUUUCUGGUCUGUAACUGACACUGAGGCGCGAAAGCGUGGGGAGCGAACAGGAUUAGAUACCCUGGUAGUCCACGCCGUAAACGAUGAGUGCUAAGUGUUAGGGGGUUUCCGCCCCUUAGUGCUGCAGCUAACGCAUUAAGCACUCCGCCUGGGGAGUACGGCCGCAAGGCUGAAACUCAAAGGAAUUGACGGGGGCCCGCACAAGCGGUGGAGCAUGUGGUUUAAUUCGAAGCAACGCGAAGAACCUUACCAGGUCUUGACAUCCUCUGCCAACCCUAGAGAUAGGGCGUUCCCCUUCGGGGGACAGAGUGACAGGUGGUGCAUGGUUGUCGUCAGCUCGUGUCGUGAGAUGUUGGGUUAAGUCCCGCAACGAGCGCAACCCUUGAUCUUAGUUGCCAGCAUUCAGUUGGGCACUCUAAGGUGACUGCCGGUGACAAACCGGAGGAAGGUGGGGAUGACGUCAAAUCAUCAUGCCCCUUAUGACCUGGGCUACACACGUGCUACAAUGGAUGGUACAAAGGGCUGCGAGACCGCGAGGUUAAGCGAAUCCCAUAAAACCAUUCUCAGUUCGGAUUGCAGGCUGCAACUCGCCUGCAUGAAGCCGGAAUCGCUAGUAAUCGCGGAUCAGCAUGCCGCGGUGAAUACGUUCCCGGGCCUUGUACACACCGCCCGUCACACCACGAGAGUUUGUAACACCCGAAGUCGGUGGGGUAACCGUAAGGAGCCAGCCGCCUAAGGUGGGACAGAUGAUUGGGGUGAAGUCGUAACAAGGUAGCCGUAUCGGAAGGUGCGGCUGGAUCACCUCCUUU